AGAGUUUGAUCCUGGCUCAGGACGAACGCUGGCGGCACGCUUAACACAUGCAAGUCGAACGAGAGAAGAGAAGCUUGCUUUUCUGAUCUAGUGGCGGACGGGUGAGUAACACGUGAGCAAUCUGCCUUUCAGAGGGGGAUACCGAUUGGAAACGAUCGUUAAUACCGCAUAACAUAAUUGAACCGCAUGAUUUGAUUAUCAAAGAUUUAUCGCUGAAAGAUGAGCUCGCGUCUGAUUAGCUAGUUGGUAAGGUAACGGCUUACCAAGGCGACGAUCAGUAGCCGGACUGAGAGGUUGAUCGGCCACAUUGGGACUGAGACACGGCCCAGACUCCUACGGGAGGCAGCAGUGGGGAAUAUUGCACAAUGGAGGAAACUCUGAUGCAGCGAUGCCGCGUGAGGGAAGAAGGUUUUAGGAUUGUAAACCUCUGUCUUUGGGGACGAAAAAUGACGGUACCCAAGGAGGAAGCUCCGGCUAACUACGUGCCAGCAGCCGCGGUAAUACGUAGGUCACAAGCGUUGUCCGGAAUUACUGGGUGUAAAGGGAGCGCAGGCGGGAAGACAAGUUGGAAGUGAAAUCCAUGGGCUCAACUCAUGAACUGCUUUCAAAACUGUUUUUCUUGAGUAGUGCAGAGGUAGGCGGAAUUCCCGGUGUAGCGGUGGAAUGCGUAGAUAUCGGGAGGAACACCAGUGGCGAAGGCGGCCUACUGGGCACCAACUGACGCUGAGGCUCGAAAGUGUGGGUAGCAAACAGGAUUAGAUACCCUGGUAGUCCACACUGUAAACGAUGAUUACUAGGUGUUGGAGGAUUAACCCCUUCAGUGCCGCAGUUAACACAAUAAGUAAUCCACCUGGGGAGUACGACCGCAAGGUUGAAACUCAAAGGAAUUGACGGGGGCCCGCACAAGCAGUGGAGUAUGUGGUUUAAUUCGACGCAACGCGAAGAACCUUACCAAGUCUUGACAUCCUGCGACGGUGCUGGAAACAGUACUUUCCUUCGGGACGCAGAGACAGGUGGUGCAUGGUUGUCGUCAGCUCGUGUCGUGAGAUGUUGGGUUAAGUCCCGCAACGAGCGCAACCCUUAUGGUCAGUUACUACGCAAGAGGACUCUGGCCAGACUGCCGUUGACAAAACGGAGGAAGGUGGGGAUGACGUCAAAUCAUCAUGCCCUUUAUGACUUGGGCUACACACGUACUACAAUGGCGUUAAACAAAGAGAAGCAAGACCGCGAGGUGGAGCAAAACUCAGAAACAACGUCCCAGUUCGGACUGCAGGCUGCAACUCGCCUGCACGAAGUCGGAAUUGCUAGUAAUCGCAGAUCAGCAUGCUGCGGUGAAUACGUUCCCGGGCCUUGCACUCACCGCCCGUCA
This 1369-nucleotide ribosomal RNA is filed under the name uncultured bacterium. RNAcentral describes it as "bacterial SSU rRNA". It matches the Rfam family "Bacterial small subunit ribosomal RNA". The record is from RNAcentral.